RNAcentral lists this ribosomal RNA (610 nucleotides) under uncultured bacterium. Its description in RNAcentral is "bacterial SSU rRNA". The stretch from base 1 to 517 matches the Rfam family "Bacterial small subunit ribosomal RNA", at positions 338 to 873 of the family's 1533-position model. The record is from RNAcentral.
CCUACGGGAGGCAGCAGUGGGGAAUCUUGCGCAAUGGGCGAAGGCCUGACGCAGCCAUGCCGCGUGAAUGAUGAAGGUCUUAGGAUUGUAAAAUUCUUUCACCGGGGACGAUAAUGACGGUACCCGGAGAAGAAGCCCCGGCUAACUUCGUGCCAGCAGCCGCGGUAAUACGAAGGGGGCUAGCGUUGCUCGGAAUUACUGGGCGUAAAGGGAGCGUAGGCGGAUAGUUUAGUCAGAGGUGAAAGCCCAGGGCUCAACCUUGGAAUUGCCUUUGAUACUGGCUAUCUUGAGUACGGAAGAGGUAUGUGGAACUCCGAGUGUAGAGGUGAAAUUCGUAGAUAUUCGGAAGAACACCAGUGGCGAAGGCGACAUACUGGUCCGUUACUGACGCUGAGGCUCGAAAGCGUGGGGAGCAAACAGGAUUAGAUACCCUGGUAGUCCACGCUGUAAACGAUGAGUGCUAGUUGUCGGCAUGNANGNNUGUGGUGACGCAGCUACGACAUAAGUACACUCCGCCGUCGGGGAGGUACGGUCGGCGAAGAAGUUAAACUUAACUUAAAGAAAGUUAGUUAGGCGUGAGAGNGCCGACGGACGACGACGAGGGAGGAGG